AUCAAUUUCAAGUAAGUGUUUUCAACAUAGUCUACGCUUUUUAAUAGGACCAAAACAAAGAUUCAGCCAAUCGGAAGCGAAUAAAUUGAGACCUAAAUAUACAGAAACAAAACUCCCAUAGACGUAUUCUAAAGAUCGUUCGAAACAAUACUUAAAGGGGCCUUAAACUUGUAGCAGUCUUGGAUAUCGUGGAUCAAUCUCAUUCCACUCAACUUUACAACUGUUUUUAGGGCAUAAUGAUAUGAUCAUAAAAGGCACGAUUCAGGGACGUUUACACUGAAUUAUCAUUGAUCUCAAUUUCCCUAUGUGGUCAUUACGGGGCUUCUUUUGCAGGAUUUUGAAAUGAGUUCGGAUAAUAAACUCACUGCACUCUCGAAAAAGCAACCAAGGCCAACAUAAUAAUAAUAAUAAUUUUAUUAUUUAUAUAGCGCAAAAUUCAUUAUCUAUAUGAUCUAAUGCGCUUUACAACUAAAAAUUAUAUAUGUGCUAAAACUAAGCUAAAACUACUAACUAUACUAUACUAACUAUACUAAAAUGAUACAUAAGCGAUAUCUUUGCUCAAAUGCUUGGUAGUACUUAGCGGCGCCCGAAAAGUUUGUAAUUGAAAUUCAAAAUCGUGGCCAUCCUGCUGAGAGCCAUGAAAUUUCACACAAACAUGAGGAACUAACCAAAGCUUUAUUCCCAAAAGAAUGGGUUCUUUAGGCAUUUAAAAAAAGGAGCAUGACGAAAAUAUGUCCAGGUCGGUGAGUUUGUUGUCCUGUCAUAGACCCGAGCAAGAAAGCCAGUGCUAGUUCGAUAUUUACUCGCCGCUCGCCAUGAAAUCACUGAAAAGCCGCCAUAUAUCGCCGAGAUAUAUCGCUUGCUAUGUAUAUACCUUCGAACCUGUAAAGGCUACCUGAAAUCUCAAAUACGAGCGAGUUUUCACACUCAUAGCGCUUACUGUCCCGCAAGCCAGCAAAAAAUGAUUAUGUCAAUUUAACCAGGGAAGUGCUGCUUUAACUUUAAAAAGCGUUGUGGUUUUUUAUACUACUCAUAUGUAAUUAGCGAAAGUUCGCCUUGUGGUCUAUCAGAAUUCACGAACCAUGACGCCCCGUUUAGUACAAGGGUUUUCAAUAAUUUGUAACCAAUGGUUCAAAGUUAUUCCUACGUGUUUCCCGUCCAAAUCUUACUUCAUUCUACUUACUUAUUCCUUAUGUAGUAGUUAAUGAAUUUUAAUCGAGAUAUCAGUAUUAAAAUACAGUAUAUUUAUCUUCGGGGCAAUGUCUCUCGUUGGCAUGUAUGUAUUUAACUUAAUGCUUUUGACAAAUUUAAACUACCAUUUCCGCGAUUAUAGAAAUCAGGCAUAUCCGUUGUACGAAUUGAUUGCCAGUGAUAGUUGAAAUAUAAUUUAGAUCUAUUCAGGGUUUCUUUUAAAAUUAUAUAAAUAUAAUUUCCCUUUAUAAUAUAUACAGUGAAGCUAUUUAUAAACGCAAGCAAUUUGUACGAAUGCGUUCGAUUAGGUUUUAAUAUUUAAUUUGUACCUUUGUGAAUUAACUCUAACAAUUACUGAAAGAUAAAUGUUAUCUCAGUUUUUAUUGUCUUUCCGUACUUUUGACACAGGUGUGGCAAGAAACCGGAAGGGAGGGGUGGUGCAAUAGCGCUAAGUUUUGCAACAUUCUAUGUUGCUGUUUGUUAUGUGAAAAAGUUUGCACAUUAUUAAAACAGUGUUUCUUGUAUAUUAAAUCAAAUUCUUCAAACACUAGUUGGAGAUAAAAGUGAAAGACCUAUUAAUUUCAUGAUUGAAUUAAAUGCCCUUGCUAUAAAUGUACUGAAAAUCUAGCAAAACAUUAUGCGUGCAGUUUACCCCUGUUAUUUGUUUGAGAGGCCAAUCACAACCACUGAUAGAGUAUUAUAUUUGAGAGGCCAAUCACAAACACUGAUAGAGUAUUAUAUUUGAGAGGCCAAUCACAAACACUGAUAGAGUAUUAUAUUUUAUUCCUUUACAGGCAGGAGUCAACAUUACAAGGGAGUUUACUGACGGCUGGAAUGAAAUGACAAAGGCAGAUUCUGGCCUCCGCUACAUCAUUUUCAAGUUGGAU
Nematostella vectensis (starlet sea anemone) is the source of this 2078-nucleotide long non-coding RNA. RefSeq lists it as uncharacterized. The record is from RefSeq and is a predicted model, not a curated record. The transcript is spliced from 2 exons. Lineage: Eukaryota; Metazoa; Cnidaria; Anthozoa; Actiniaria; Edwardsiidae.